Transfer RNA from Alligator mississippiensis (American alligator), 83 nucleotides. It matches the Rfam family "tRNA". From Rfam's summary of the family: Transfer RNA (tRNA) molecules are approximately 80 nucleotides in length. Their secondary structure includes four short double-helical elements and three loops (D, anti-codon, and T loops). Further hydrogen bonds mediate the characteristic L-shaped molecular structure. tRNAs have two regions of fundamental functional importance: the anti-codon, which is responsible for specific mRNA codon recognition, and the 3' end, to which the tRNAs corresponding amino acid is attached (by aminoacyl-tRNA synthetases). tRNAs cope with the degeneracy of the genetic code in two manners: having more than one tRNA (with a specific anti-codon) for a particular amino acid; and 'wobble' base-pairing, i.e. permitting non-standard base-pairing at the 3rd anti-codon position. Lineage: Eukaryota; Metazoa; Chordata; Crocodylia; Alligatoridae. The record is from Rfam.
ACCAGGAUGGCCGAGUGGUUAAGGCGUUGGACUUAAGAUCCAGUGGACAUGUGUCUGCGUGGGUUCGAACCCCACUCCUGGUA